AUUGAACGCUGGCGGCAUGCUUUACACAUGCAAGUCGAACGGUAACAGGCCUUCGGGUGCUGACGAGUGGCGAACGGGUGAGUAAUGCAUCGGAACGUGCCCAGAGGUGGGGGAUAACGCAGCGAAAGCUGUGCUAAUACCGCAUGUGAUCUGAGGAUGAAAGCGGGGGACCAGGCAGCAAUGUUUGGCCUCGCGCCUUUGGAGCGGCCGAUGUCAGAUUAGGUAGUUGGUGGGGUAAAGGCCUACCAAGCCGACGAUCUGUAGCUGGUCUGAGAGGACGACCAGCCACACUGGGACGGGAACACGGCCCAGACACCUACGGAAGGCAGCAGUGGGGAAUUUUGGACAAUGGGCGCAAGCCUGAUCCAGCAAUGCCGCGUGCGGGAAGAAGGCCUUCGGGUUGUAAACCGCUUUUGUACGGAACGAAAAGGCUCUGGCUAAUACCUGGGGCUGAUGACGGUACCGUAAGAAUAAGCACCGGCUAACUACGUG
This 492-nucleotide ribosomal RNA is filed under the name uncultured bacterium. Its description in RNAcentral is "partial 16S ribosomal RNA". It matches the Rfam family "Bacterial small subunit ribosomal RNA", at positions 29 to 507 of the family's 1533-position model. The record is from RNAcentral.